This 265-nucleotide long non-coding RNA is filed under the name Phaseolus vulgaris (common bean). RNAcentral's name for it is "long non-coding RNA (PVUL_LNC001111)". Lineage: Eukaryota; Viridiplantae; Streptophyta; Magnoliopsida; Fabales; Fabaceae. The record is from RNAcentral.
UCCAAUGUUUCCACAAUUUCUAGGCUUCUUUCAAACACUGCACUCCAAAGUUUCUGAUUAUAACUCCUUCUUUGUCCUCACUCUUCAUCCAAUCCUUUCUUUCAACCCUUCCAUAAUAAGAGCAUCAAUUAAAGCCUGUAAUAAUCACGAAUCUUCCAACACACCGGAAAAGCUACACUACUUUUUCUCCCCACCACUUUCAAAAUUUUCCCUCACUAUUUCAAACUUUGCAUACCCUCUUCUCUUCUCUUCUCUUCUCUUCUCU